This 397-nucleotide ribosomal RNA is filed under the name uncultured bacterium. RNAcentral describes it as "partial 16S ribosomal RNA". It matches the Rfam family "Bacterial small subunit ribosomal RNA", at positions 360 to 774 of the family's 1533-position model. The record is from RNAcentral.
AAUCUUGCGCAAUGGGCGAAAGCCUGACGCAGCCAUGCCGCGUGAAUGAUGAAGGUCUUAGGAUUGUAAAAUUCUUUCACCGGGGACGAUAGUGACGGUACCCGGAGAAGAAGCCCCGGCUAACUUCGUGCCAGCAGCCGCGGUAAUACGAAGGGGGCUAGCGUUGCUCGGAAUUACUGGGCGUAAAGGGCGCGUAGGCGGAUCGUUAAGUCAGGGGUGAAAUCCCGGGGCUCAACCUCGGGAUUGACCUUGAUACUGGCGAUCUUGAGUAAGAGAGGGGUAUGUGGAACUCCGAGUGUAGGGGUGAAAUUCGUAGAUAUUCGGAAGAACACCAGUGGCGAAGGCGACAUGCUGGCUCAUUACUGACGCUGGGGCGCGAAAGCGUGGGGAGCAAACA